AGAGUUUGAUCCUGGCUCAGAUUGAACGCUGGCGACGUGCUUAACACAUGCAAGUCGUGCGAGAAAGGAGACUUCGGUCUCUGAGUAGAGCGGCGCACGGGUGAGUAACGCGUGGAUGAUCUACCCUUGAGUUCGGGAUAACGGUGCGAAAGCGCCGCUAAUACCGUAUAACAAUCCGUUUCAUCGUGGGUUCAAAGCAGGCCUCUUCAUGAAAGCUUGCGCUUGGGGAUGAGUCCGCGUCCCAUUAGCUUGUUGGCGGGGUAACGGCCCACCAAGGCUACGAUGGGUAGCUGGUCUGAGAGGAUGAUCAGCCACACUGGAACUGAAACACGGUCCAGACUCCUACGGGAGGCAGCAGUGGGGAAUAUUGCGCAAUGGGGGAAACCCUGACGCAGCGACGUCGUGUGAGGGAAGAAGGCCUUCGGG
RNAcentral lists this ribosomal RNA (426 nucleotides) under uncultured bacterium. RNAcentral's name for it is "bacterial SSU rRNA". It matches the Rfam family "Bacterial small subunit ribosomal RNA", at positions 8 to 422 of the family's 1533-position model. The record is from RNAcentral.